GGCAAAAUGAGAGUCCGACUGUCUCUUAUAACUAAUCAAUUAAACUGAUCCCCCAGUACAAAAGCUGAGAUACCACCAUAAGACCAGAAGACCCUGUGAAGCUUUAACUAACCUAUUAAACCCAAUAAUAAUUAAUUUCGGUUGGGGCGACCUUGGAACAAAAAAGAACUUCCAAUAUAUGACUUCAUCAUACAAAAGGCAAACAAGCCACAUUAGACCCAGUAUAUCUGAUUAAUGAACCAAGUUACUCCAGGGAUAACAGCGCUAUCUUCUUCAAGAGCCCAUAUCAAAAAGAAGGUUUACGACCUCGAUGUUGGAUCAGGACAUCCUAGUAAUGCAACCGUUACUAAGGGUUCGUUUGUUCAACGAUUAACAGUCCUACGUGA
Molecule: ribosomal RNA, 386 nt
Filed under: Vipera berus (adder)
Lineage: Eukaryota; Metazoa; Chordata; Lepidosauria; Squamata; Viperidae
Description: partial 16S ribosomal RNA
Rfam family: Bacterial large subunit ribosomal RNA
Source: RNAcentral